GAUGAACGCUGGCGGCGUGCUUAACACAUGCAAGUCGAACGAUGAAGCCCAGCUUGCUGGGUGUAUUAGUGGCGAACGGGUGAGUAACACGUGAGUAACCUGCCCUUAACUCUGGGAUAAGCCUGGGAAACUGGGUCUAAUACCGGAUAGGAGCGCCUACCGCACGGUGGGUGUUGGAAAGAUUUAUCGGUGUUGGAUGGACUCGCGGCCUAUCAGCUUGUUGGUGGGGUAAUGGCUCACCAAGGCGACGACGGGUAGCCGGCCUGAGAGGGUGACCGGCCACACUGGGACUGAGACACGGCCCAGACUCCUACGGGGGGCAGCAGUGGGGAAUAUUGCACAAUGGGCGAAAGCCUGAUGCAGCGACGCCGGGUGAGGGAUGACGGCCUUCGGGUUGUAAACCUCUUUCAGUAGGGAAGGAGCGAAAGUGACGGUACCUGCAGAAGAAGCACCGGCUAACUACGUG
Molecule: ribosomal RNA, 466 nt
Filed under: uncultured bacterium
Lineage: Bacteria
Description: partial 16S ribosomal RNA
Rfam family: Bacterial small subunit ribosomal RNA
Source: RNAcentral